UGUCGAUGUUGAGUCGUUCGGGCCCAGGCUAAUGUUGAGUCGAGCAGGCUCGGGCCGAUGUCGAAGCGAGCAGGCCCGAGUUGAUGUAUAGUCGUUCUGGCCUGACCGUUGUCGAGUGGAUCGGGGCGGGACUGAUGUCGAGCCAAGCAGUGUCAGGCCCAUGUCAAGCUGAGCAGUCCCGACCCGAUGUCGAGUUGUUGGGCCGAUGAGUCAUCCGGGCCUGGGCGAUGUUGAGUCGUACAAGGCCAGGGUGAUGUCGAUUCAUUCGGGCCUUGGCCAAUUUCUAGUCGUUCUAGCUCGGGCUGAUGUCGAGUCAUCUAGGCCCGGGAUUUCAAGUGGUCCAGGUUAGGGCCGAUGUUGAGCCGAGAUGGCCCUAGUCAAUGUCGAGACAAACAGUCCUGAGCCCAUGUUGAGUUGGCCAGGUCGAUGUCGAGCCGAACAUUCCUGAGCCCAUGUCAAGUCGAGCGGGCCUGGGCUAAUGUUGAGCAAUCUUAGGUCAAUGUCGAGCAGAGCGGGCCCGGGCUGAUGUCGAGUCGGUCGGGCCGAGCUAAUGGUGAGUUGAGCAAGCCCAAGCUGAGCGGGCCCGGGGCGUUGUUGAUUCGUUCGGGCCCAGACUAAUGUUAUCCCAUAUCGAUGUUGAGCUGUGUAGGCCGGGCGAUAUCGAGCCAAGCGGGCACAGGUCCAUGUUGAGUCAAGCAGGCUCAGGCUCAUGUUGAGCUGAGCAUACCCGAGCCCAUGUUGAGUCGAGCGGGCCUAGGCUGAUGUGAGCUGAGCAAUCCUGGUCAAUGUCAAGUUGAGCAAUCCUAGAUCGAUGUUGAGUUGUGUAGGUCGGGCCGAUGUCGAGUCGAGCAGGCUCGAGCCCAUGUCGAGUUGAGCAGGCCUGGGUCGAUGUCGAGUGGAUCAGGUCGGGUUGUUGCUAAGUUGAGCUAGAUCGGCCCAGGCCGAUGUCAAGUCAUUCGAGCUUGGGUCAAUGUUGAGUGUAUAAAGCCAAGGCAAUGUCGAUUCGUCCAGGCCCUGUUCGAUUUU
This 1026-nucleotide long non-coding RNA is filed under the name Phaseolus vulgaris (common bean). RNAcentral's name for it is "long non-coding RNA (PVUL_LNC001124)". Lineage: Eukaryota; Viridiplantae; Streptophyta; Magnoliopsida; Fabales; Fabaceae. The record is from RNAcentral.